This 774-nucleotide ribosomal RNA is filed under the name uncultured Neocallimastigales. RNAcentral's name for it is "partial large subunit ribosomal RNA". It matches the Rfam family "Eukaryotic large subunit ribosomal RNA", at positions 20 to 616 of the family's 3401-position model. The record is from RNAcentral. Lineage: Eukaryota; Fungi; Neocallimastigomycota; Neocallimastigomycetes; Neocallimastigales.
UACUAGAGUAGCACUCGCAUAUCAAUAAGCGGAGGAAAAGAAACUAACAAGGAUUCCCCUAGUAACGGCGAGUGAAGCGGGAAGAGCUCAAAUUUGAAAUCUUAAAGGGUUUCCCUUUACGAAUUGUAGUUUAAAGAAGUGUUUUCUGUUGAGGUUUUGGUAAAAGUUCUUUGGAAUAGGACAUCAUAGAGGGUGAGAAUCCCGUAUUUGACCUUUACUUUCAACUUUGUGAUACACUUUCAAAGAGUCGGAUUGUUUGGGAAUGCAGUCCAAAAUGGGUGGUAAAUUUCAUCUAAAGCUAAAUAUUGGCGAGAGACCGAUAGCGAACAAGUACCGUGAGGGAAAGAUGAAAAGAACUUUGAAAAGAGAGUUAAACAGUACGUGAAAUUGUCAAAAGGGAAGCGUUUGACACCAGUGUUGUUUUUCUGAAAAUCAAUUAAAGAACUGUUUAUGCUAAGUUGUUUAGACUUUAUCAGCUAACUGUUUAGUUUUGAGCUUUUCUUUAAUGCACUUUUCAGUUAACAAGUCAACAUCAAUUUCUUUUGCUGUAAAAAAGCUCGAGGAAGGUGGCUUGAGAUUCGUCUUAAGUGUUUAUAGCCUCUUGCCUAUGCAGUCGGAGAGAUUGAGGUCUGCAGCGUAGAUCCUUCGGGGCUAAAUGCAUUUGUGCUAAGUUAUAGCAUUUUAUAGACAACUUGUUGACUAUGAUUUGUCUUGUAGCUUACUCGCUUAUGUUAUUUUACCUACGCUUAGGAUGUUGAGCGCAUGUCUCUCUCU